Long non-coding RNA from Oncorhynchus tshawytscha (Chinook salmon), 3424 nucleotides. The record is from Ensembl. NCBI's taxonomy places the organism in Eukaryota, Metazoa, Chordata, Actinopteri, Salmoniformes, Salmonidae.
UGACUUGUACAUUUUAAUUCUCUAUCAGCCAUAAACACACUGCAGCAUUUGAUUAUUAUACCAUUUGAAUAAAACUAAUACAUGCCCUCGUAAAUAUUUAUAUAUGUAUAAUAUCACAUAUGUAUAUAAAUGCCGUCACCGCGGAAACAGAAUGCUGAUUGGUUAAAUUAAAAGCCGGACCGACCCAGUCACAGUGAACUUCCACUAGUUUUGCAUUUGUAUCACUUUUUAGUUUUUGUUUUUUUAAAUCAUUUUUAAACGUCACUCUCACAGUAACCAGUGACAUCAGUGAAGUACAUACAUGACAUGUGGUAGAUACAUACAGUAGCUAAACGCUCUGAGCGGUGAGUGAUACUGUGUACACAUACUGUCAACCUGCUCGACCACACCUCUAGGUCAGGUGUGUCUCUGUCCCGUACCUGCCCUCAUAUACUUUCUACACGGGCCUUUCCCAUUGGCUAGACAUACAGAACCCAGCCUGCAUGGGGCUGUCUGAUUGGCUACAAAUACUGUAUUGUGCCUAGAUGGGCCUUUCCCAUUGGCUAAACAUACCAUUUCCUGUGUCCUUGUGCCCAAAGCGUGGAGGUGUGCCCCCUUCUGACAGCGAGGAGGGCAACGUGGUUGUUGUGAAAUAAAGUUCAUUUUUCUCUGCUCAUGUCGUCACAUUCACACACACACACACACACACACACACACACACACACACACACACACACACACACACACACACACACACACACACACACACACACACACACACACACACACACACACACACAACCACUAACACCCGGUCCCACACUCUCAAGGGCCGAUAAGUAAUCAAUAAUCACAUUGAUAAAUCAAACAAAGAACCAUCCGAGAAGCUCUCGUACCAACCUCGGGUCUGCUGCACAAAUGGCUCCCUAUUCUCUAUGUAGUGAACUACUUAAGACCAGGACCCUAUUCCCUAUGUAGUGAACUACUUAAGACCAGGGCCCCUAUGGGUUCUGCAUAGGGAAUAGGAUGCCAUUCGUGACACAGACAUCUUCAUAUCAGAGGACUGCUUCUAAACGAGACAGUCAUGAUCCACACCUUAUCAACUUAUACACAGCGUAUUCACCAUUGGGAAAAUAAAUAUGAAAUAAAUAAAUACAUCUAAUAAAGGAAGUCUCCAUAACAAACCAACAAACCAAACAAAGAAAACGAGUUCCUUAUCUAGUUAUCUAGUUAUCUAGUUAUCUAGUUAUCUAGUUAUCUAGUUAUCUAGUUAUUAGUUAUCUAGUUAUCUAGUUAUCUAGUUAUCUAGUUAUCUAGUUAUCUAGAUAUUAGUUAUCUAGUUAUCUAGUUAUCUAGAUAUCUAGUUAUCUAGUUAUCUAGUUAUCUAGUUAUCUAGUUAUCUAGUUAUCUAGUUAUCUAGUUAUCUAGUUAUCUAGUUAUCUAGUUAUCUAGAUAUCUAGAUAUCUAGUUAUCUAGUUAUCUAGUUAUCUAGUUAUCUAGUUAUCUAGUUAUCUAGUUAUCUAGUUAUCUAGUUAUCUAGUUAUCUAGAUAUCUAGUUAUCUAGUUAUCUAGUUAUCUAGUUAUCUAGUUAUCUAGUUAUCUAGUUAUCUAGAUAGUGAACUGAACCCGAAACUAGAGAAGAAGAACUUCAAAAAAAAACAAGGAAAGAAUUGAACCAAUAACAGAGAAGCUGCUUUUACCAAACCACUCCCUUCAUAGCAGCAAUUCAGGUCUGACACACACACACACACACACACACACACUUGCACUAAUUCACAUGCACGCACGUCAAACAAUGAGAUGAGGUUGGAAAUGUUACAAACCAUGGAGAGAUAAACAGACGGGAAGAAAGAUAGAGAGAGAGAUACAGAGAGAGAGAGAGAGAGAGAGAGAGAGACAGAGAGAGAGAGAGAGAGAGAGAGAGAGAGAGAGAGAGAGACAGAGAGAGAGAGAGACAGAGAGAGAGACAGAGAGAGAGAGAGAGAGACAGAGGAGAGAGAGAGAGAGAGACAGAGAGAGAGAGAGAGAGAGAGAGAGAGAGACAGAGAGAGAGACAGAGAGAGAGACAGAGAGAGAGACAGAGAGAGACAGAGAGAGAGACAGAGAGAGAGACAGAGAGAGAGACAGAGAGAGAGAGACAGAGAGAGAGACAGAGAGAGAGACAGAGAGAGAGACAGAGAGAGAGACAGAGAGAGAGACAGAGAGAGAGACAGAGAGAGAGACAGAGAGAGAGACAGAGAGAGAGAAAAGGAUCAAGGCUAUAUAUAAUUAACCAUAUCUCAGCUAUGAUCGUCACCAGCUAACCGACCAAUCAUGCCUACUCUACCUGGUAAUGGAGGGGACUAAUAAGGUUGCCUAGGUUACAGAUGACAAACGUUUUUUUUUUCAAACCACAUAUUUAGAUAUAGCUACUUUCUGAAGAACAAGAACACUAAACACUCCAGCAACAGGAAGCAGGAAGCAGGAAGCAGGAAGCGAGGACUACGGUUAAGGGUUGCUACAGGUGACAUCGUGAUAUCUGACCUAUUUUUAAAAGAAAGGUCAAUAUGAGGAAGAGGAAGUGCUGUAGUUUUCACGUCGUAGUGAAGAAUAACUAAGAACUGUAGUAGUAGUAGUAGAGACAGGUAGUGCUGUGAGGUGUACAUCGUAGCGUCUGUUAGUCCAACCACCUACUCUAGCAGUACAACACAUGUAUGACUAAUGUCUGUCUGUGUUCUGCCACAGCAUCAGAUACACAAAACAAACAUGGGAAAAAAACCUCUCUUUGGUCACAAAAAAAAAAAAUGAAAACGGAACAAACACACAAAGAAGAAACAGAAAGAAAGGAAGUGAUUGUUGAAACAGGAAGACGGUGGUAGGACUGAGGUGCACUCUGGGAUUGCAUGUGCCUGAUGCAUAGGAUUGGUGGAUCUUCAGGGAAAGGGGCGGUGUCAGAGGCCGAACAGGAAACUAGCGAGGCGAUAAAGGAGGCCUGUUAUUCCUUUUUCCUUCCCUCUUCCUCCUCAUCCCCCCCUCCUCCUCCUCCUCUUCCUCCUCCUUCUAACAGUAGAGGUGGAUGAGGUGAUGAAGGUGCUCCAGGAGAACCUGUUUCCUGUUACCACAGGCUCCUCCCCCCUCACUACUGUCCGUCUCUGGGUACGUCCCUUACACAUCUUGGCCCUGGGGGGGGUAGAGAGAGUGAGAAGAGAGAAGCGAGGGAGGAGAGAGGAGACGUAGAGAGAUGGAGAAGAGAGGGAGAGGAGGGGGGGGGGGGGGAGGAGAAGAGAGUAAAGAGAGAGAAAGUUGGAGAGAAAAAGGAGGGCAGCGAGAGAUGAGAGACAGAGCGAGAGAGAGGAGAGAGAGAGAGAGAGAGAGAGAGAGAGAGAGAGAGAGAGAGGAGAGACAGAGAGAGAGAGAGAGAGAGAGAGGAGAGACAGAGAGAGAGAGAGAGAGAGAGAGAGAGAGA